UACGUAGGGGGCGAGCGUUGUCCGGAUUUAUUGGGCGUAAAGAGCGUGUAGGCGGCCAGGUAGGUCUGCUGUGAAAACUCGAGGCUCAACCUCGAGACGUCGGCGGAAACCAUCUGGCUAGAGUCCGGAAGAGGAGAGUGGAAUUCCUGGUGUAGCGGUGAAAUGCGCAGAUAUCAGGAGGAACACCGAUUGCGAAGGCAGCUCGCUGGGACGUGACUGACGCUGAGACGCGAAAGCGUGGGGAGCAAACAGG
Molecule: ribosomal RNA, 253 nt
Filed under: uncultured bacterium
Lineage: Bacteria
Description: partial 16S ribosomal RNA
Rfam family: Bacterial small subunit ribosomal RNA
Source: RNAcentral